RNAcentral lists this ribosomal RNA (507 nucleotides) under uncultured prokaryote. RNAcentral's name for it is "bacterial SSU rRNA". It matches the Rfam family "Archaeal small subunit ribosomal RNA", at positions 1 to 489 of the family's 1478-position model. The record is from RNAcentral.
UUCCGGUUGAUCCCGCCGGACUCCACUGCUAUCGGGGUAAGGCUAAGCCAUGCAAGUCGAAGGCCUCCGGCUCCGGGGGCCUGGCGUACGGCUGAGUAACGCGUGGCCAACCUGCCCUGCGGAGGGGGAUAACCCCGGGGAACUGGGGAUAAACCCCCAUAGGUGACCGGGUCUGGAAGGACCGGUCGCCGAAAGUCCCGGUCGGGGAUGCUCCGGCCGGGAGCCGCAGGAUGGGGCUGCGUCCUAUCAGGUAGUUGGUGGGGUAACGGCCCACCAAGCCUGUGACGGGUAGGGGCCCUGAGAGGGGGAGCCCCCAGAUGGACUCUGAGACAAGAGUCCAGGCCCUACGGGGCGCAGCAGGCGCGAAAACUCCGCAAUGGGCGAAAGCCCGACGGGGUUACCCCGAGUGCCACCCUCGUGGUGGCUUUUGCCCGCUCUAAAAAGGCGGGCGAAUAAGGGGAGGGCAAGUCGGGUGUCAGCCGCCGCGGUAAUACCCGCUCCCCGAGU